CAACUUUCAGCAACGGAUCUCUUGGCUCUCGCAUCGAUGAAGAACGCAGCGAAAUGCGAUAAGUAAUGUGAAUUGCAGAAUUCAGUGAAUCAUCGAAUCUUUGAACGCACCUUGCGCUCCUUGGUAUUCCUUGGAGCAUGCCUGUUUGAGUAUCAUG
This 157-nucleotide ribosomal RNA is filed under the name Leptoporus mollis. Its description in RNAcentral is "5.8S ribosomal RNA". It matches the Rfam family "5.8S ribosomal RNA". Rfam says of the family: 5.8S ribosomal RNA (5.8S rRNA) is a component of the large subunit of the eukaryotic ribosome. It is transcribed by RNA polymerase I as part of the 45S precursor that also contains 18S and 28S rRNA. The record is from RNAcentral. Lineage: Eukaryota; Fungi; Basidiomycota; Agaricomycetes; Polyporales; Irpicaceae.